GAUGAACGCUGGCGGCGUGCCUAAUACAUGCCAGUCGAGCGAACAGACGAGGAGCUUGCUCCUCUGACGUUAGCGGCGGACGGGUGAGUAACACGUGGAUAACCUACCUAUAAGACUGGGAUAACUUCGGGAAACCGGAGCUAAUACCGGAUAAUAUAUUGAACCGCAGGGUUCAAUAGUGAAAGACGGUUUUGCUGUCUCUUAUAGAUGGAUCCGCGCCGCAUUAGCUAGUUGGUAAGGUAACGGCUUACCAAGGCAACGAUGCGUAGCCGACCUGAGAGGGUGAUCGGCCACACUGGAACUGAGACACGGUCCAGACUCCUACGGGAGGCAGCAGUAGGGAAUCUUCCGCAAUGGGCGAAAGCCUGACGGAGCAACGCCGCGUGAGUGAUGAAGGUCUUCGGAUCGUAAAACUCUGUUAUUAGGGAAGAACAAAUGUGUAAGUAACUAUGCACGUCUUGACGGUACCUAAUCAGAAAGCCACGGCUAACUACGUG
RNAcentral lists this ribosomal RNA (497 nucleotides) under uncultured bacterium. RNAcentral's name for it is "partial 16S ribosomal RNA". It matches the Rfam family "Bacterial small subunit ribosomal RNA", at positions 28 to 507 of the family's 1533-position model. The record is from RNAcentral.